Molecule: ribosomal RNA, 253 nt
Filed under: uncultured bacterium
Lineage: Bacteria
Description: partial 16S ribosomal RNA
Rfam family: Bacterial small subunit ribosomal RNA
Source: RNAcentral
UACGGAGGGUGCAAGCGUUAUCCGGAUUCACUGGGUUUAAAGGGAGCGUAGGCGGGCAGGUAAGUCAGUGGUGAAAUCUCCGGGCUUAACCCGGAAACUGCCAUUGAUACUAUCUGUCUUGAAUAUCCUGGAGGUAAGCGGAAUAUGUCAUGUAGCGGUGAAAUGCUUAGAUAUGACAGAGAACACCCAUUGCGAAGGCAGCUUACUACGGGAUGAUUGACGAUGAGGCUCGAAAGAGUGGGGAUCAAACAGG